This 380-nucleotide transfer-messenger RNA is filed under the name Patescibacteria group. RNAcentral's name for it is "UBA9978 sp000995065 Standard tmRNA". It matches the Rfam family "transfer-messenger RNA". From Rfam's summary of the family: Bacterial tmRNA, also known as 10Sa RNA or SsrA, is named for its dual tRNA and mRNA-like properties. RNAcentral also lists the same sequence under 2 other names. The record is from RNAcentral.
GGGGCUGCUACGGCAUCGACAGAAGUACUUUAAAAUCUAAAGGCUAGUAAGCCGAAGAGCAAACUUCGUUAACAAAGCAACACAAUAACUGCAAAAUUCGCAGAAAAAGUUAAGACCGCUUUUGCUGGUCUUAGCUUUCAACCAGCUGUAGCCUAAAUCAGGCUACCCGUCUUUAGUAGCCGGCCCGGCGACGGCUAAAGACGAAAUAAUCCGGGAUGCAGGGGCCGUAUGUCUGUGACGGCGCUCAAGACUUAUCAGGCUAGACUGGAAAGAAUUUGUCUAAUUUAUCUUCUAGUUUAAAACUCAAAUUAGACUAAGCUUGCUAAAAGUUUUUAGGUUUUUACUUUUGGACGCGGGUUCGACUCCCGCCAGCUCCACCA